RNAcentral lists this ribosomal RNA (316 nucleotides) under uncultured microorganism. RNAcentral's name for it is "bacterial SSU rRNA". It matches the Rfam family "Archaeal small subunit ribosomal RNA", at positions 330 to 651 of the family's 1478-position model. The record is from RNAcentral.
GCGCAGCAGGCGAGAAUACUUACAAUGUGCGAAGCACGAUAAGGGAACUCUGAGUGCCUCCUAAGGAGGCUGUUCAGGUGUCUAAAAGACACCUGGAGUAAGGGCUGGGUAAGACCGGUGCCAGCCGCCGCGGUAACACCGGCAGCCCAGGUGGUAGCCACUUUUAUUGGGUCUAAAGCGUCCGUAGCCGGUUGAGUAAGUUCCUUGGGAAAUUUGGCUGCUCAACAGUCAAGCUUCCAGGGGAAUACUGCUCGACUUGGGGACUGGGAGAGGUCAGAGGUACUCCAGGGGUAGGGUGAAAAUCCAUUAAUCCCGU